GGGGAUGUUACGGAUUCGACACGCGUAGGUUGCGCAUUGACCGCACUUCGCAGGUUACGGCUGCGUCAUCAACGUUACAGUUAAUUAUAACUGCAAACAAAGAAAAUUCUUACGCUUUAGCUGCCUAAUAGCAGCUUAACGUGAUCCGUCCGGAUUCACCCAAGGUUCGGAGCCGGGUCUCAAAUGAAUUGGGUUACGGUACAGACUGACACCUGAGGAAUGUACAAGAGAUUUGCAGGAUAGUAAAGUUGCGUUAGCCUGGCUUCACGGCGCUGCGAUUUUAUGAACUUCAAAUAGUGAAACUAUGAGUGUAGAAGCUGAUGUGGCAAUACGUGUGGACAGGGGUUCAACCCCCCUCAUCUCCACUU
RNAcentral lists this transfer-messenger RNA (368 nucleotides) under Lactobacillus selangorensis. RNAcentral describes it as "Paralactobacillus selangorensis Standard tmRNA". It matches the Rfam family "transfer-messenger RNA". From Rfam's summary of the family: Bacterial tmRNA, also known as 10Sa RNA or SsrA, is named for its dual tRNA and mRNA-like properties. Its role is to liberate the mRNA from a stalled ribosome. Lineage: Bacteria; Bacillati; Bacillota; Bacilli; Lactobacillales; Lactobacillaceae. The record is from Rfam by way of RNAcentral.